RNAcentral lists this ribosomal RNA (890 nucleotides) under uncultured archaeon. RNAcentral describes it as "bacterial SSU rRNA". It matches the Rfam family "Archaeal small subunit ribosomal RNA", at positions 23 to 919 of the family's 1478-position model. The record is from RNAcentral.
CUGACUGCUAUCGGAUUGGUACUAAGCCAUGUGAGUCAUUGUAGCAAUACAAGGCAUACGGCUCAGUAACACGUAGUCAAUCUGCCCUAUGGACGUGGAUAACCUCGGGAAACUGAGAAUAAUCCGCGAUAGAUCAUAAUGCCUGGAACGGUUUAUGGUCCAAAUGAUUCGUCGCCAUAGGAUGGGACUGCGGCCUAUCAGCUUGUUGGUGAGGUAAUGGCCCACCAAGGCUAUUACAGGUACGGGCUCUGAGAGGAGAAGCCCGGAGAUGGGUACUGAGACACGGACCCAGGCCCUAUGGGGCGCAGCAGGCGAGAAACCUUUGCAAUGUGCGCAAGCACGACAAGGUUAAUCCGAGUGUUUCCUGCUAAAGGAAUCUUUUGUUAGUUCUAAAACCACUGAUGAGUAAGGGGUGGGCAAGUUCUGGUGUCAGCCGCCGCGGUAAAACCAGCACCUCAAGUGGUCAGGAGGAUUAUUGGGCCUAAAGCAUCCGUAGCCGGUUCUGUAAGUUUCCGGUUAAAUCCACUAGCUCAACUAAUGGGCUGCCGGAAAUACUGCAGAACUAGGGAGUGGGAGAGGUAGACGGUACUCGGGAGGAAGGGGUAAAAUCCUUUGAUCUCUUGAUGACCACCUGUGGCGAAGGCGGUCUACCAGAACACGUUCGACGGUGAGGGAUGAAAGCUGGGGGAGCAAACCGGAUUAGAUACCCGGGUAGUCCCAGCUGUAAACGAUGCAGACUCGGUGAUGCACUGGCUUUUGGCCAGUGCAGUGCCGCAGGGAAGCCGUUAAGUUUGCCGCCUGGGAAGUACGUACGCAAGUAUGAAACUUAAAGGAAUUGGCGGGGGAGCACCACAAGGGGUGAAGCCUGCGGUUCAAUUGGAUUCAACGCC